GUGAAUCAUCGAAUUUUUGAACGCAAAUUGCACUUUCUGGUAUUCCGGAAAGUAUGCCUGUUUGAGGGUCAGUUAAAUAAAAAUCGGUGAGGUUGCUGCCUUUCGGGGGUACGCGUCUGAAUGGGGUCGUCUUACCUUCGGUUAAGUUACUUAAAAUUUGUGCAUGAUUUUCGAACGUAUUUAAAUCGCUUACGUACGUUGUAGAUAUCGAAUACUGAUUAGUUUCGGU
RNAcentral lists this unclassified non-coding RNA (229 nucleotides) under Glomus sp. Its description in RNAcentral is "partial contains 5.8S ribosomal RNA and internal transcribed spacer 2". The stretch from base 1 to 71 matches the Rfam family "5.8S ribosomal RNA", at positions 84 to 154 of the family's 154-position model. Lineage: Eukaryota; Fungi; Glomeromycota; Glomeromycetes; Glomerales; Glomeraceae. The record is from RNAcentral.